RNAcentral lists this ribosomal RNA (253 nucleotides) under uncultured bacterium. RNAcentral describes it as "partial 16S ribosomal RNA". It matches the Rfam family "Bacterial small subunit ribosomal RNA", at positions 524 to 776 of the family's 1533-position model. The record is from RNAcentral.
UACGAAGGGGGCGAGCGUUGUUCGGAUUUACUGGGCGUAAAGGGCGCGCAGGCGGCUCAUUUUGUCAGGCGUGAAAGCCCCGGGCUUAACCUGGGAACUGCGUUUGAUACGGAUGGGCUAGAGUUCGGGAGAGGAGCGUGGAAUUCCCAGUGUAGAGGUGAAAUUCGUAGAUAUUGGGAAGAACACCGGUGGCGAAGGCGGCGCUCUGGACCGAGACUGACGCUGAGGCGCGAAAGCGUGGGGAGCAAACAGG